This 460-nucleotide ribosomal RNA is filed under the name uncultured bacterium. RNAcentral's name for it is "partial 16S ribosomal RNA". It matches the Rfam family "Bacterial small subunit ribosomal RNA", at positions 338 to 795 of the family's 1533-position model. The record is from RNAcentral.
CCUACGGGGGGCAGCAGUGAGGAAUAUUGGUCAAUGGGCGCUAGCCUGAACCAGCCAAGUAGCGUGAAGGAUGACUGCCCUAUGGGUUGUAAACUUCUUUUAUAUGGGAAUAAAGUGCAGUAUGUAUACUGCUUUGCAUGUACCUUAUGAAUAAGGAACGGCGAACUCCGUGCCAGCAGCCGCGGUAAUACGGAGGAUCCGAGCGUUAACCGGAUUUAUUGGGUUUAAAGGGAGCGUAGGCGGGUUGUUAAGUCAGUUGUGAAAGUUUGCGGCUCAACCUUAGAAUUGCAUUUGAUACUGGCAUCCUUGAGUACAGUAGAGGUAGGCAGAAUUCGAGGUGUAGCGGUGAAAUGCGUAGAUAUCACGAAGAACUCCGAUUGCGAAGGCAGCCUCCUGGACUGUAACUGACGCUGAUGCGCGAAAGUGUGGGUAGCAAACAGGAUUAGAUACCCGGGUAGUC